CGCUUAACCGACUGCGCCACCCAGGCGCCCCAGUUUGCCAUCUUAAUACGCACCCCAUAACUGAUUUUGUCUGCUUUAAAACCUUUAAUAUUCUUUGAAGACGUGGUCUAGGUCUGAAAAUCCGAUUCUGAACAUGGUAAGAGAACACGGAAAAAAACAGUAAGAACUCCAGAAAAGUGGGAAAUAGUUUGCUGAUUCCAUGGCCAGAAGAGUAAAGAGCGUUUAGACAGUGUUUUGUCGAACAAUGUUUGCCCGCUUGCUUACUUAUUGCCUAUCUUCUCCCAGAUGAGGCUGGGGCUUCUCCUGUCUUGUUCAAUAAGGUGCAGAUCCCCAACACCUAGGAUAAGAUAAAAUUUGGUGCAGAGGAGGCCCUCGUAAAUAAUUGCUAAAGAAAUUGCUAUUUCUAUCUGUCGCUAUGUGAUUUUCUGCUUUGAAACUUAGUGGCCUAAAACAAUGGCGAUUUGUUAUUUCUUACCAUCCGGUGGGUGGACUGGGCCUUCUGGGCUCCCCUGGCGGCCGGUAUGGGGAUGCCUCACCCACACAUCUAGGCCUUAGCUGGGGCAGCUGGGCCUCUCUACAUGGUUUCUCACCCAGGGCUUCUGUUCCCGAUGCAGAAGCUCCCCAAAGGGCAAAGGUAGAAGCAUCGAGGCCUUGAGAUCCAGGAUCUGGAACCCCACAAGUCACUUCCACCAUGUUCUUCUGGUUAAAGCAAGUCAUGAGGCCCGCCUGGAAUUCAAGGUGUGAAGAAAGAGACUCCACCCCUUGAUGGGAAAGCCUGCAAAACAGUAUGAUCCUGCCUUUCUUUCUGCCACAUUGUUCCAAAGUUUGUAAACAGAGGAAGAAUAAUCGGAAUUGUCCACCGUUGGCCAGCUUAGUGCCUGGCACCUGCUCAUGCCCCCCACCAUCAAAACAACAACAACACCAACCAGAAGAUUCUGACAUCCAAUUUCAAAAUAAAUCGGACAGUCUGACAACUGAUUCAAAACAAAAACAAAAAAGCAGAAGCUUCUUGGACCCCAUCCUGGUAAGUUCGAUCAUCAUUAGCAACUCACUUGUUGCUACAUUGCCUUCAUGAUUAUCAUUUUUAAUGACUAUACAUUAUUUUGUUGAAUAACAGAAUUUAUCUAAACAUCUCCUCUAUGUGGGCUCUUUAAGUAGUUCCAAUUUUAUGCUACUGUGAAAAUUGCCGCAAUUAACAUCUUUGUCAACAUAACUUUUUGCUUCGGUUGGAUAAUUUCCUCAGGAAGCGAGGUAAUUUUGACCGCCUCUUAUGGAAGACUAGAACGAGGUUGUGGCAACAUUUUCUGCAUUAGCAUUUUGCAUCGGCCAAAAAUGGGAAAGAUCAGAACUCACCUUCAGGAGGAAGUGCUUAAACUGUGAGCCAACUGUUCAAUAAGAGGCUGUGCAACCAUUACAAAGAACAAGGAUUAUUCACUAUCGCCAAAAAGUAGAAACCAUCUAAAAUGUCCUUCAUGUGGAAGAUUAUGCUACAAUGGGAUACGAUUCGGCCAUAAAAGCAAUGAAGUUCUGAGACAUGCUAUCACAUGGAUGAACCUUGGAAACAUUAUGCCGAGUGAAAGAAGUCAGACGCAGGGGGCCUCGUAGAAUAUGAUUCCGUUUAUAGGAAAUGUCUAGAAUAGGUAAAUCCAUGGAGACAGAAAAAAAGAUAAGUAGUUACCAGGGGUUGGGGAGGGAAUGGGAAAUGAUUGCUAACAGGUAUGAGGUUUCUUUGGGGGAUGAUGAAAUUAUUCUGGAAUAGAUAGCAGUGAUGGGUACACAACCUUGUGAAUAUACAAAACCCACUGAACUGUGCACUUUAAGAGAAUGAACUUGGGGUGCCUGGGUGGCUCAAUCAGUUAAGCAUCUGACUUUGGCUCAGGUCAUGAUCUCACGGC
Long non-coding RNA from Felis catus (domestic cat), 1895 nucleotides. RefSeq lists it as uncharacterized. NCBI's taxonomy places the organism in Eukaryota, Metazoa, Chordata, Mammalia, Carnivora, Felidae. The record is from RefSeq and is a predicted model, not a curated record. The transcript has 3 exons.